This 69-nucleotide transfer RNA is filed under the name Dallia pectoralis (Alaska blackfish). RNAcentral's name for it is "tRNA-OTHER". It matches the Rfam family "tRNA". Rfam says of the family: Transfer RNA (tRNA) molecules are approximately 80 nucleotides in length. Their secondary structure includes four short double-helical elements and three loops (D, anti-codon, and T loops). The record is from RNAcentral. Lineage: Eukaryota; Metazoa; Chordata; Actinopteri; Esociformes; Umbridae.
GGUGUAGCUCAGUGGUUGAGUACAUGCUUCGUAUGUAUGAUGUCCUCGGUUCAAUCCCCAGCUUCUCCC